This 2314-nucleotide ribosomal RNA is filed under the name Listeria monocytogenes. RNAcentral's name for it is "partial 23S ribosomal RNA". It matches the Rfam family "Bacterial large subunit ribosomal RNA", at positions 5 to 2318 of the family's 2925-position model. Lineage: Bacteria; Bacillati; Bacillota; Bacilli; Caryophanales; Listeriaceae. The record is from RNAcentral.
AAGUUAUUAAGGGCGCACGGUGGAUGCCUUGGCACUAGAAGCCGAAGAAGGACGUUACUAACGACGAUAUGCUUUGGGUAGCUGUAAGUAAGCGUUGAUCCAGAGAUUUCCGAAUGGGGGAACCCAACAUGAGUUAUGUCAUGUUAUCGACAUGUGAAUUCAUAGCAUGUCAGAAGGCAGACCCGGAGAACUGAAACAUCUUAGUACCCGGAGGAAGAGAAAGAAAAAUCGAUUCCCUGAGUAGCGGCGAGCGAAACGGGAAGAGCCCAAACCAACAAGCUUGCUUGUUGGGGUUGUAGGACACUCUAUACGGAGUUACAAAAGAACAUGUUAGACGAAUCAUCUGGAAAGAUGAAUCAAAGAAGGUAAUAAUCCUGUAGUCGAAAACAUAUUCUCUCUUGAGUGGAUCCUGAGUACGACGGAGCACGUGAAAUUCCGUCGGAAUCUAGGAGGACCAUCUCCUAAGGCUAAAUACUCUCUAGUGACCGAUAGUGAACCAGUACCGUGAGGGAAAGGUGAAAAGUACCCCGGAAGGGGAGUGAAAGAGAACUUGAAACCGUGUGCUUACAAGUAGUCAGAGCCCGUUUAUGGGUGAUGGCGUGCCUUUUGUAGAAUGAACCGGCGAGUUACGAUCUGAUGCAAGGUUAAGCAGCGAAUGUGGAGCCGUAGCGAAAGCGAGUCUGAAUAGGGCGUUGAGUAUUUGGUCGUAGACCCGAAACCAGGUGAUCUACCCUUGGUCAGGUUGAAGUUCAGGUAACACUGAAUGGAGGACCGAACCGACUUACGUUGAAAAGUGAGCGGAUGAACUGAGGGUAGCGGAGAAAUUCCAAUCGAACUUGGAGAUAGCUGGUUCUCUCCGAAAUAGCUUUAGGGCUAGCCUCAAGUGAUGAUUAUUGGAGGUAGAGCACUGUUUGGACGAGGGGCCCCUCUCGGGUUACCGAAUUCAGACAAACUCCGAAUGCCAAUCAAUUUAACUUGGGAGUCAGAACAUGGGUGAUAAGGUCCGUGUUCGAAAGGGAAACAGCCCAGACCACCAGCUAAGGUCCCAAAAUAUAUGUUAAGUGGAAAAGGAUGUGGCGUUGCCCAGACAACUAGGAUGUUGGCUUAGAAGCAGCCAUCAUUUAAAGAGUGCGUAAUAGCUCACUAGUCGAGUGACACUGCGCCGAAAAUGUACCGGGGCUAAACAUAUUACCGAAGCUGUGGAUUGUCCUUCGGACAAUGGUAGGAGAGCGUUCUAAGGGCGUUGAAGCAUGAUCGCAAGGACAUGUGGAGCGCUUAGAAGUGAGAAUGCCGGUGUGAGUAGCGAAAGACGGGUGAGAAUCCCGUCCACCGAUUGACUAAGGUUUCCAGAGGAAGGCUCGUCCGCUCUGGGUUAGUCGGGUCCUAAGCUGAGGCCGACAGGCGUAGGCGAUGGAUAACAGGUUGAUAUUCCUGUACCACCUAGUAUCGUUUUAAUCGAUGGGGGGACGCAGUAGGAUAGGCGAAGCGUGCUGUUGGAGUGCACGUCCAAGCAGUAAGGCUGAGUGUUAGGCAAAUCCGGCACUCGUUAGGCUGAGCUGUGAUGGGGAGAGGAAAUUGUUUCCUCGAGUCGUUGAUUUCACACUGCCGAGAAAAGCCUCUAGAUAGAUAACAGGUGCCCGUACCGCAAACCGACACAGGUAGUCAAGAUGAGAAUUCUAAGGUGAGCGAGCGAACUCUCGUUAAGGAACUCGGCAAAAUGACCCCGUAACUUCGGGAGAAGGGGUGCUCUUUAGGGUUCACGCCCAGAAGAGCCGCAGUGAAUAGGCCCAAGCGACUGUUUAUCAAAAACACAGGUCUCUGCUAAACCGUAAGGUGAUGUAUAGGGGCUGACGCCUGCCCGGUGCUGGAAGGUUAAGAGGAGUGGUUAGCUUCUGCGAAGCCACGAAUCGAAGCCCCAGUAAACGGCGGCCGUAACUAUAACGGUCCUAAGGUAGCGAAAUUCCUUGUCGGGUAAGUUCCGACCCGCACGAAAGGCGUAACGAUUUGGGCACUGUCUCAACGAGAGACUCGGUGAAAUCAUAGUACCUGUGAAGAUGCAGGUUACCCGCGACAGGACGGAAAGACCCCGUGGAGCUUUACUGUAGCCUGAUAUUGAAAUUCGGCACAGCUUGUACAGGAUAGGUAGGAGCCAUUGAAACGUGAGCGCUAGCUUACGUGGAGGCGUUGGUGGGAUACUACCCUAGCUGUGUUGGCUUUCUAACCCGCACCACUUAUCGUGGUGGGAGACAGUGUCAGGCGGGCAGUUUGACUGGGGCGGUCGCCUCCUAAAAGGUAACGGAGGCGCUCAAAGGUU